AAAGGCGUUGGGUAAAUUG
This 19-nucleotide non-coding RNA is filed under the name Arabidopsis thaliana (thale cress). Lineage: Eukaryota; Viridiplantae; Streptophyta; Magnoliopsida; Brassicales; Brassicaceae. The record is from RNAcentral.